UACGUAGGGUGCGAGCGUUGUCCGGAAUUAUUGGGCGUAAAGGGCUCGUAGGCGGUCCGUCACGUCGGAAGUGAAAACUCAGGGCUUAACCCUGAGCCUGCUUCCGAUACGGGCGGACUAGAGGUAUGCAGGGGAGAAUGGAAUACCUGGUGGAGCGGUGGAAUGCGCAGAUAUCAGGUGGAACACCAGUGGCGAAGGCGGUUCUCUGGGCAUUACCUGACGCUGAGGAGCGAAAGCGUGGGGAGCAAACAGG
RNAcentral lists this ribosomal RNA (253 nucleotides) under uncultured prokaryote. Its description in RNAcentral is "partial 16S ribosomal RNA". It matches the Rfam family "Bacterial small subunit ribosomal RNA", at positions 524 to 776 of the family's 1533-position model. The record is from RNAcentral.